AGGGUUCGAUUAUGGCUCAGGAUGAACGCUAGCGGCAGGCUUAACACAUGCAAGUAGAACGGUAACAGUCCUUCGGGAGCUGACGAGUUGCGAACGGGUGCGUAACGCGUAUGCAACCUACCUAUAACAGAGGGAUAGCCCAUAGAAAUGUGGAUUAAUACCUCAUAACAUCUUAAGAUGGCAUCAUCUAAAGAUUAAAACUCCGGUGGUUAUAGAUGGGCAUGCGUGACAUUAGCUAGUUGGUGAGGUAACUGCUCACCAAGGCAACGAUGUCUAGGGGUUCUGAGAGGAUGAUCCCCCACACUGGUACUGAGACACGGACCAGACUCCUACGGGAGGCAGCAGUGAGGAAUAUUGCGCAAUGGAGGAAACUCUGACGCAGCCAUGCCGCGUGCAGGAAGACUGCCCUAUGGGUUGUAAACUGCUUUUAUAUAGGAAGAACUACAGAUACGUGUAUUUGUUUGACGGUACUAUACGAAUAAGGACCGGCUAACUCCGUGCCAGCC
RNAcentral lists this ribosomal RNA (506 nucleotides) under uncultured Cytophagaceae bacterium. RNAcentral's name for it is "bacterial SSU rRNA". It matches the Rfam family "Bacterial small subunit ribosomal RNA", at positions 8 to 513 of the family's 1533-position model. Lineage: Bacteria; Pseudomonadati; Bacteroidota; Cytophagia; Cytophagales; Cytophagaceae. The record is from RNAcentral.